RNAcentral lists this transfer RNA (73 nucleotides) under Pyrinomonadaceae bacterium. RNAcentral describes it as "tRNA-Arg". It matches the Rfam family "tRNA". Rfam says of the family: Transfer RNA (tRNA) molecules are approximately 80 nucleotides in length. Their secondary structure includes four short double-helical elements and three loops (D, anti-codon, and T loops). The record is from RNAcentral. Lineage: Bacteria; Pseudomonadati; Acidobacteriota; Blastocatellia; Blastocatellales; Pyrinomonadaceae.
GCUCCCGUAGCUCAGUGGAUAGAGCAUCUGCCUUCUAAGCAGAGGGUCGCACGUUCGAGUCGUGCCGGGGGUA